CCGUCUUCUUCUUCACGGCGUGUCUUCCGGCACGACAGUGCACCCAAUCCCCUCCACUUCUCCCUGUCUCUCUCCGUCUCGCCUUCCUCCUCCAAUGCCCCAGUCUACGCGGGCGACCCCGACGGCACGCGCGAAAUGCGAACGGACCCCGGCUCACCAAACACUGCUUCUCUGGGUUCAUGGCGCCGUCGUCCAGGGAUGAGGACGUGGCACUCGGCGGAAGCCCGGCGUCAUCUCCGUGUUCGCCGACCUGAGAUGCACAUGCACACCACCAGUUCCUGCGACUUCCUGCAGCAGACGACAGCCGUCAAGAUCCAAGACUCCGCUGCCGCUGGUCCCGCUAGAUGUAGCAGCAGCAAAAAAAGGUAAGGCCGCCG
Molecule: long non-coding RNA, 377 nt
Filed under: Sorghum bicolor (sorghum)
Lineage: Eukaryota; Viridiplantae; Streptophyta; Magnoliopsida; Poales; Poaceae
Description: long non-coding RNA (SBIC_LNC016432)
Source: RNAcentral